Molecule: long non-coding RNA, 343 nt
Filed under: Elaeis guineensis (African oil palm)
Lineage: Eukaryota; Viridiplantae; Streptophyta; Magnoliopsida; Arecales; Arecaceae
Description: long non-coding RNA (EGUI_LNC059758)
Source: RNAcentral
GUGUAGCAUCUCUUUGAACCCCCUCGACCGUCUGAGCUUCCGGACUUCUCCGACAAUGAGCUUCUCCAUCUAUAUACCGGGCCGCUCUAAAGGCUCUCUAGGCCUCACUAUCAGCCAACCUUCUACAGUGAUCAACUAUUCUCCAAACUUCUUUCAGACUUCAUCGAUAUCCGAGCUUCUUCGACAACGAGAUUGCUAUAGUAAUCAGACUCCAUCUAAGUUUCUACGGUGGUCGACCGCCUUUGGGAUUCCAACCGAGCUCCUGCGAGAGCCGAACUUCUACUACGAGCGGUCUACUCCGAACUUCUACUACGAGCGGUCUACUCCGAACUUCUACUACGAG